UUUACAAUAAGAUAAUACUGAAUCUAUCUUUAAUCUGAAUCUUUGCUCAAUAAGAACAUAUGAGAGUUGCAAAAAAAAAAUGUUAAAAAAGAUGGAAGACCUAAAUCCACCUUGAAGCAUAAACAGUGGUGUUACUUUAAGAAAAGCACGUGGCAGCCCUAAUAACGUCUGUAAUAGUAUAGAAAAGCACCUCCACGUCUCAUUCUUUUAGACAAUAUGGUCCAGUGGGAAAAGUUUUGGCUCUAAAGAAUACUAUUCUCUAGCUUCGUGAUAUGUUCAUUCCACUGUUCUUGAUCUCAAUCGGAGGUUCUGCAUAAUGGAAUUCAUAAUUUUGUUCUAUCAAACCUGCAAAACAGUACCAGCACCUAUAGAUAGCAUGUUGUAGAAAAUGGCAAGAAUAUGUAUAAAAAUGGAAAUGGAUCCUAACCAUCUCACCUUACUUGCUCCUAGAGAAGUCCAACAGGUGAUGGUCUUGUUUUCCCAAGCUGCUACAGAGCUUCUGCAGCUCCAAGCAUGACCACUAUAUUUGGCUGCUUAAAAGCAUAACAAGGGCAGAAAUCAUAAAGGCUUUGCCCAGAGGGCCUUGAUUGUCCUUGCCUUCUUGUCCUUUGGUGAGAACUUCAUUGGUGGUGGCUCCAAAAAUCAGGAGACUUUCUGUGAUGAAUUCACCAUAAGAACGUGGGACCCAGCCUCCCUUGAAGGACGUCCUAUAUGAUGCCUGUUUCCAAGGGAAGAAGUAAAGUCAAGAAACAAGAUAUCCUCAAGCUACUCUUAGGAUCAGUGUCUGCAUAGAUCUGGCACACAGAAAUGCAAGGAAACAAUUUGUGCAAAGCAUUAAAAAAAAAAGGGGGGACCCUGAGAGUAUAACAAGUGCUCCUGAGAGAGGACAGACGGAGAGGACGCAUGGGCAGGGAUGGCCGCCCUGAGCAGCUGAUGUUCGAGCUAAGAUCUGAAAGGUGCAUGAUUUCCCACUUACCUCCCGCAACCACUACCACCCACGUUGUCCACAGUAUUCAGCUGUCUCAGGGAGGAUCACAAUUAUUCUAAUGGGACUGCAAAGAGUGAAGGACACAGCUUUUAACAUCAGAUUCGAAUCCUACAAUUUGGAACCCAUGGGCACUUCUAGAUUGGAUCUUGCAGAGAUUUUUUACAACAGAAAUAAUGGAAAGGCAAAAGAAAACAUUGAGUAAUAACCAACCCAAGCAAGUCCAGCCUCUUUCUGCAGAAGAUCUCCGUGGGUCUUUUUAUCCUUAAGAAGUUUUGGAGGCAAGGAAGAGCAGAAAUCACUCUCCGCAUUGGAUAGAUGAAGAAAGGAGCCUCAGAGAAGAGAUUCAGAGGUUCUCCUAAGGCCACUAACUAAUAAAUGAUGACAUGAGAGUAAACUGAAGACUUGCAGUGCCAGGGUUGGUGUGGUCCUCCCUGAUGGGGGCCUUGACCUGUGAGGCCAAGGACAACAAAGGAACAGCUGUCUCCUUGCCAUGGAAGUGGCCCAGUAACCAGAAGGACUCAACUGUCAGGGCUGCAAGAACUUCCCAAGGACCCAGCUCUCUGCUGGAGCUGCAAUCAAGAAAUUGAAACACCUGUGGAGCCCCACCUCGCUGAAGAACCAGCACACCUGUCGACCACUGUCUUUCCACCUGCAGAUCCAGGAAGAAAACCAAAGCAAGGAGUAGGGAGAGGCUGUCCUCGGAGAGGCUGUUCUAGGACUGUGCUGCUCCCCUGGGUGCGCAGCCCCUGUGUCUUCCUCCUUGCGUUACCACUUUCCCUGCCCAUGAACUGAAGGCUCUCUCCUCCCUCUCCCUCUCUGCAUCUUAAAGCUGAGCCCACUAACAUAAAGCCUGGACAACUUGAUCUGCAGUGAAAUCUUGAAGACAAAGUCUGGCCUCCUCAUUAGAAUCCACAUGUUAUUGAGCCUUACCCACUGGUGCUGGCCCUGGCACAGAGAAGGCAACUUAAUACGUUAAUACAACUUAAUAAACUUGUAGAAUGAAUGAAUAUUGUCUGGAAGACACACCAAGUCAAGGGUCGUUUGACAUCUAAUGUUCAAAAACUAUUUUGUGCACCUACCAUUUAGUGGGUACUAUCCUAUUUAUUUAGGACAUGCUGGUGAAGCAAACGGAUUCAUUCUCUGCCCUUGAUAUAUUUUAGCAGGGAAUACAAACAAGUAGUUGCCAUGCAUGUGAUGGUAUGAGAUCCAACAGAUGAAAAGCUCUUACCACCUCCAGGCUCUGUGUUGCACAGAAGCACAGCCUACACUAGAGUCUUCAGUUCCAGCUGACUUUGCAAUCUGGACUUUCCAACGUCUAGUGUGAGCUAAGAUUUGGCUGCCUUUCCCCACUUCCUGCCCCAUGUAGCAGGCCUCUUUUGGCCCUGGGUAUGGAGUAUUCCUA
RNAcentral lists this long non-coding RNA (2390 nucleotides) under Homo sapiens (human). RNAcentral describes it as "PREDICTED lncRNA (TCONS_00091903)". The record is from RNAcentral. Lineage: Eukaryota; Metazoa; Chordata; Mammalia; Primates; Hominidae.